This 478-nucleotide ribosomal RNA is filed under the name uncultured bacterium. Its description in RNAcentral is "partial 16S ribosomal RNA". It matches the Rfam family "Bacterial small subunit ribosomal RNA", at positions 28 to 507 of the family's 1533-position model. The record is from RNAcentral.
GAUGAACGCUGGCGGCGUGCUUAACACAUGCAAGUCGAACGGGAAUUAUUUUAUUGAAACUUCGGUCGAUUUAAUUUAAUUCUAGUGGCGGACGGGUGAGUAACGCGUGGGUAACCUGCCUUAUACAGGGGGAUAACAGUCAGAAAUGGCUGCUAAUACCGCAUAAGCGCACAGAGCUGCAUGGCUCAGUGUGAAAAACUCCGGUGGUAUAAGAUGGACCCGCGUUGGAUUAGCUGGUUGGUGGGGUAACGGCCCAGCAAGGCGACGAUCCAUAGCCGGCCUGAGAGGGUGAACCGCCACAUUGGGACUGAGACACGGCCCAGACUCCUACGGGAGGCAGCAGUGGGGAAUAUUGCACAAUGGGGGAAACCCUGAUGCAGCGGCGCCGCGUGAAGGAAGAAGUGUCUCGGUAUGUAAACUUCUAUCAGCAGGGAAGAUAGUGACGGUACCUGACUAAGAAGCCCCGGCUAACUACGUG